CAGAGCCAUCAUCACCCUUGAUAUGUUGUCUUAGAAGGCUUUCCUCUUGAACAGUUUUAAGCAGGUGAAGUUCUCAUUAGUGCCUCUGCCACUAUCUUCGUGUAAGGAAAGCGUCCAGUUUAAGUUUUCUGCAUAUGGCUAGCCAGUUUUCCCAACACCAUUUAUUAAAUAGGGAAUUUUUCCCCAUUGCUUGUUUUUGUCAGGUUUAUUAAAGAUCAGAUGGUUGUAGAUGUG
This 234-nucleotide long non-coding RNA is filed under the name Pan troglodytes (chimpanzee). RNAcentral's name for it is "long non-coding RNA NONPTRT015836". The record is from RNAcentral. Lineage: Eukaryota; Metazoa; Chordata; Mammalia; Primates; Hominidae.